This 460-nucleotide ribosomal RNA is filed under the name uncultured bacterium. RNAcentral's name for it is "partial 16S ribosomal RNA". It matches the Rfam family "Bacterial small subunit ribosomal RNA", at positions 338 to 795 of the family's 1533-position model. The record is from RNAcentral.
CCUACGGGAGACAGCAGUGAGGAAUAUUGGUCAAUGGCCGGAAGGCUGAACCAGCCAUGCCGCGUGAAGGUCAGUGCCCUAUGGGCGUUAAACUUCUUUUGUGCGGGAGCAAUAAUGGUCACGUGUGGCCAGACGAGAGUACCGUACGAAUAAGCAUCGGCUAACUCCGUGCCAGCAGCCGCGGUAAUACGGGGGAUGCAAGCGUUAUCCGGAUUUAUUGGGUUUAAAGGGUGCGUAGGCUGUGAGGUAAGUCAGCGGUGAAAUGCCCCCGCUCAACGGGGUGAAGUGCCAUUGAUACUGGCUGGCUGGAAUACGGAUGCGGUGGGAGGAAUGUGUGGUGUAGCGGUGAAAUGCAUAGAUAUCACACAGAACACCGAUUGCGAAGGCAUCUCACGAAUCCGCGAUUGACACUGAUGCACGAAAGCGUGGGUAUCAAACAGGAUUAGAUACCCGAGUAGUC